UACAGAGGGUGCAAACGUUGCUCGGAAUCAUUGGGCGUAAAGCGCACGUAGGCGGCCUGAUAAGUCGGGUGUGAAAGCCCUGGGCUCAACCCAGGAAGUGCACUCGAAACUGUCAGGCUUGAAUAUGGAAGAGGGUCGCGGAAUUCCCGGUGUAGAGGUGAAAUUCGUAGAUAUCGGGAGGAACACCAGUGGCGAAGGCGGCGACCUGGGCCAAUAUUGACGCUGAGGUGCGAAAGCGUGGGGGAGCAAACAGG
RNAcentral lists this ribosomal RNA (254 nucleotides) under uncultured bacterium. RNAcentral describes it as "partial 16S ribosomal RNA". It matches the Rfam family "Bacterial small subunit ribosomal RNA", at positions 524 to 776 of the family's 1533-position model. The record is from RNAcentral.